RNAcentral lists this ribosomal RNA (1419 nucleotides) under Streptomyces albidoflavus. RNAcentral describes it as "bacterial SSU rRNA". It matches the Rfam family "Bacterial small subunit ribosomal RNA". The record is from RNAcentral. Lineage: Bacteria; Bacillati; Actinomycetota; Actinomycetes; Kitasatosporales; Streptomycetaceae.
ACGAACGCUGGCGGCGUGCUUAACACAUGCAAGUCGAACGAUGAACCGCUUUCGGGCGGGGAUUAGUGGCGAACGGGUGAGUAACACGUGGGCAAUCUGCCCUGCACUCUGGGACAAGCCCUGGAAACGGGGUCUAAUACCGGAUAUGACUGUCCAUCGCAUGGUGGAUGGUGUAAAGCUCCGGCGGUGCAGGAUGAGCCCGCGGCCUAUCAGCUUGUUGGUGAGGUAGUGGCUCACCAAGGCGACGACGGGUAGCCGGCCUGAGAGGGCGACCGGCCACACUGGGACUGAGACACGGCCCAGACUCCUACGGGAGGCAGCAGUGGGGAAUAUUGCACAAUGGGCGAAAGCCUGAUGCAGCGACGCCGCGUGAGGGAUGACGGCCUUCGGGUUGUAAACCUCUUUCAGCAGGGAAGAAGCGAAAGUGACGGUACCUGCAGAAGAAGCGCCGGCUAACUACGUGCCAGCAGCCGCGGUAAUACGUAGGGCGCAAGCGUUGUCCGGAAUUAUUGGGCGUAAAGAGCUCGUAGGCGGCUUGUCACGUCGGUUGUGAAAGCCCGGGGCUUAACCCCGGGUCUGCAGUCGAUACGGGCAGGCUAGAGUUCGGUAGGGGAGAUCGGAAUUCCUGGUGUAGCGGUGAAAUGCGCAGAUAUCAGGAGGAACACCGGUGGCGAAGGCGGAUCUCUGGGCCGAUACUGACGCUGAGGAGCGAAAGCGUGGGGAGCGAACAGGAUUAGAUACCCUGGUAGUCCACGCCGUAAACGGUGGGCACUAGGUGUGGGCAACAUUCCACGUUGUCCGUGCCGCAGCUAACGCAUUAAGUGCCCCGCCUGGGGAGUACGGCCGCAAGGCUAAAACUCAAAGGAAUUGACGGCGGCCCGCACAAGCGGCGGAGCAUGUGGCUUAAUUCGACGCAACGCGAAGAACCUUACCAAGGCUUGACAUACACCGGAAACGUCUGGAGACAGGCGCCCCCUUGUGGUCGGUGUACAGGUGGUGCAUGGCUGUCGUCAGCUCGUGUCGUGAGAUGUUGGGUUAAGUCCCGCAACGAGCGCAACCCUUGUCCCGUGUUGCCAGCAGGCCCUUGUGGUGCUGGGGACUCACGGGAGACCGCCGGGGUCAACUCGGAGGAAGGUGGGGACGACGUCAAGUCAUCAUGCCCCUUAUGUCUUGGGCUGCACACGUGCUACAAUGGCCGGUACGAUGAGCUGCGAUACCGNGAGGUGGAGCGAAUCUCAAAAAGCCGGUCUCAGUUCGGAUUGGGGUCUGCAACUCGACCCCAUGAAGUCGGAGUCGCUAGUAAUCGCAGAUCAGCAUUGCUGCGGUGAAUACGUUCCCGGGCCUUGUACACACCGCCCGUCACGUCACGAAAGUCGGUAACACCCGAAGCCGGUGGCCCAACCCCUUGUGGGAGGGAGC